Molecule: long non-coding RNA, 867 nt
Filed under: Homo sapiens (human)
Lineage: Eukaryota; Metazoa; Chordata; Mammalia; Primates; Hominidae
Description: HSALNT0391961
Source: RNAcentral
CCAGACAGGGCACUGUCUGUGGCCCCAGGGGUUGAGGACCCCUGGCUUUAACAACAGAAAGGUACCAUCUUACAGUUCUGGAGGCCAAAGUCUGAUAUCCAGACCCCAGUUACUGGAUUGGGAUCCACCCUCACUCAAUAUGGCCUCAGCUUAAUGAAAGACAUCUGCAGAGACCCUAUUUCUACUAAAAGCCACAUUCUGAGACUUCUCGUGGGCGUGAGUUUUUGAGAGACACUGUUCUGCUCCAUGCAGGGAGGGAAUUGGGAUCUGAAGACGUUGCAUUCGAGGUCUCGGGGCUCCUGAUGAGCAGCCUCGGCCUGACCUGGGGCAGGUGUGAUGUCUGCGGCUCACCAUCUCCACCCUGCCUGCUGUGGAAUCUCCACAACGACAGGUGCUUUGGAGGCCAGAGUGCAUGCGUACGGGCCCUGCACACGCUGAAUGUCACUGGGAACAAGGACACACCCCGCUUCCAGGAGAAGAUAGAACAUGUCGACCCCUUUUAGCCAUCCCCAGUGCAGGACAUGCUAUUGACUUCCAUGAGACAAACACCUACUUGGAAAUCAGGUUUUUUCUGUACCUUUUGAAGGAGCAGGAAUUUCCCAGCAUUUCCUGGACAAAGACGGAGGCCACAUUCGCUGCAUCCUUUCCAGCAAGAUGUCAUUCUGAGAUUUUUGUCAUUCCUGGGCGUUAUGAGGACUGCCAAGGGACACAAUUCCAUGGGAGGAAAGUUUUCUUCUAAGCUGCAAGCCAGCUCUGGCUUCUGGAGUUUCUCCUUAGGAUUGCAAGACAGUAGUUCCCUGUCCUUUAGGUCUUCUCCAGAAAUACCUUAAAAUAGCAAAUAAAAUAAGAUAUAAGCAAACAAAACCU